Molecule: long non-coding RNA, 222 nt
Filed under: Nicotiana benthamiana
Lineage: Eukaryota; Viridiplantae; Streptophyta; Magnoliopsida; Solanales; Solanaceae
Description: long non-coding RNA (NBEN_LNC021853)
Source: RNAcentral
UACACUGCAAGGCUGACAUGAUACAUGGACUGGAUUAGUGACAUCUCCGAGUGUAUAAAAAGGCUACGACUAUCUCCAAAUGAAUGUAAAGGCUAUGGCCAUCUUCAGAUGAAUGUAAAGGCUACUGCCAUCUCCAGAUGAAUGUAUAGGCUACGGCCAUCUCCAGAUGAAUGAAAAGUCUAUGACCAUCUCCAGAUGAAUGAAAAGGCUACGUCCAUCUCC